This 77-nucleotide transfer RNA is filed under the name Ancylobacter aquaticus. Its description in RNAcentral is "tRNA-Lys". It matches the Rfam family "tRNA". Rfam says of the family: Transfer RNA (tRNA) molecules are approximately 80 nucleotides in length. Their secondary structure includes four short double-helical elements and three loops (D, anti-codon, and T loops). RNAcentral also lists the same sequence under 4 other names. Lineage: Bacteria; Pseudomonadati; Pseudomonadota; Alphaproteobacteria; Hyphomicrobiales; Xanthobacteraceae. The record is from RNAcentral.
GGGCCCGUAGCUCAGCUGGUUAGAGCGCGUGACUUUUAAUCAUGAGGUCCUGGGUUCGAGUCCCAGCGGGCUCACCA